Molecule: non-coding RNA, 1872 nt
Organism: Harpia harpyja (harpy eagle)
Lineage: Eukaryota; Metazoa; Chordata; Aves; Accipitriformes; Accipitridae
Source: the annotation of a RefSeq genome assembly
GUGGUGGUGUCUGGGAGCCCAGGGCAGCACAAGCAGCUGUGCCCUUGUAGGAAAUCAGACCAACUGCACUCUGAGAUGUCUUUUUAAAAGGGUAGCCAGCCAGGGAAGUGAUCCUUCUCCUCUGUCACUCCUGAGACCAUGCCUGGGGUCUUUUUAUUUCUCACUCUGUUUUGACCCUGAAAAUUCUCAAGUACUGGAAUGCACUGUUCACAGAUAUUGUACAGGCUCUGGCCUUGGAAAUUUUCCAGGCAUGACAGGCACAGCCCUGAGCAGCCUGAUCUAAUGAGACCUGCUCUGAGCAGGGACUUGGAGUGGGUGAUCUGCAGAGGACCUAUCCAACCUAAAUUGUGCUAUGGUAAGAGUAAAAAUAGUGUGGCUACAAGGAUUUGUUAAAGGCUACAAGGAAGGAGAGGUCAAAUGCAGAUCCUACUUGUUUUGAGGAAACCGAGAAUGGAAGGGUUAUGGUCAAGUGAAAGGACUGUUUAGUUGCAUUUGAGUGGUUUGGGGUUUUUUUCCCCCAACAAGCUUUUCAGAAGCUGAUUUAUGAGAUUUAUGAGAUGGGAUGGGCAGUGUGGCUAGAAACGUCCUUUAUCGGUUCCUGAGAUAUCUUCUCCUGAAUAGAGGGAGAAAGUCCACAGUGCCUGGAGGGGCUGAGUGGGACAGUUGGUGUCUGCAGGGUUUGGGGUUGUUGACCAUUGUGUUUGUGAGAGCUGCAGCCUUGGGGUGUGCUGAGAGGAGCUUGGGGCACCAUACAGGAGCCAGGAGAGGCCAACUCAACCGUGGUCUUGAGGUUGGUGAAACAAGAGGCACGAGGCAUGAAGGAAAGAGAGACUCCCAAGACGUUGCAGAGGAGGAUGUGUCAGAGAGCUUGGUCACCAGGUGCAUGUCUAUCCCCCUUUAACCCCUCACCUUGGAAAAGCAAAGGUGGUGUCUGCAGGAGCAACACGUGUCCCUGCUGGAGGAGGGAGGACCACAGCACGGGCAAUUCAAGCGUGCUAAGGAGAAGCAUUUUGUCUUCCCUGUUUCAUUCUUUGUUGCCCUUGCCAAGUCAUUUCCGGCAGCUGUGCUCUCUCAGGGCUCUUGGUGGGGACGUGUGGCUUUUUUGAGUCUCUCUCACACAUGCAGGAGGAUUGGUCUCAGCAUGCACCUCGGGUAUCUCAUCCUCGCUGCUUUCCUGAGGCAACCACUAGGCACCAUGGGGCAGACCACCGUCACCCAGCAAGAAGGACAAGUCACAGUCAAGGAGAGAGACACCUUCCAGACCACCUGCACCUACCAGGUCACUAACUUUGAUGGAUUGCUCUGGUACCAGCAGAGGAAAGGCCAAGCCCCACAGCUUAUCUCAUAUCAGGCAGCAGCUGGCCCCAGGCGGAGUGGCCGUCUCACCACAUUGCUGAACACCACAGGGAAAAACAGCCUUCUCCAGCUGGAGGAAGUCGAGGUCUCUGACGCUGCCUUGUACCUCUGUGCUGUGCAAGACACGCUGGUGCAGGAAGUUUCCUUGGCUGUGCAAGAAGCCAGGGGAGAGAGGGCAUUGGUUUGUGUGAGGCUGAGCUUGGGGGAAGGGGCCCUCAGCUCUCCCCUGGCAGUGUUGCUUGCCCUGUACACCCAGAGCUCUGCAGGUCAAAAUCCUCUUCCAGGAGAGGACAGUGUCAGUGGCUUGAGAGGAAGAAGAAGGUGGUGAACGAGUCUCAGGUUCCCUCGUUUUCACCGUGGGUUAUGUGGUUAUCCUGCCCAUGGCUUUGGAGAAGUGAUGGGCAAUGUAGGAGGUUGGGACCGCUUCUGCAAUGGUUCCCUGCUGCUCUUAACUUUCUGGUUUUGUCUACUGCACAUUGCUUCUUCAGGUAUUCCUGCAAGCCUGUUCCUUAGAGU